CAACAGCUAGAGUUUGAUCCUGGCUCAGGACGAACGCUGGCGGCGUGCCUAACACAUGCAAGUCGAACGAGAAUCCUCGGAAGGAGACUUCGGUCAACGGAAGAGGAGGACAGUGGCGGACGGGUGAGUAACGCGUGAGCAACCUGCCCUUCAGAGGGGGACAACAGCUGGAAACGGCUGCUAAUACCGCAUGACAUACUUUUAAGGCAUCUUAGGAGUAUCAAAGAUUUAUCGCUGAAGGAUGGGCUCGCGUCUGAUUAGCUGGUUGGUGGGGUAACGGCCUACCAAGGCGACGAUCAGUAGCCGGACUGAGAGGUUGAACGGCCACAUUGGGACUGAGAUACGGCCCAGACUCCUACGGGAGGCAGCAGUGGGGAAUAUUGGGCAAUGGGGGCAACCCUGACCCAGCAACGCCGCGUGAAGGAAGAAGGCUUUCGGGUUGUAAACUUCUUUGACGAGGGACGAAGAAUGACGGUACCUCGAAAACAAGCCACGGCUAACUACGUGCC
RNAcentral lists this ribosomal RNA (509 nucleotides) under uncultured organism. RNAcentral describes it as "SSU rRNA". It matches the Rfam family "Bacterial small subunit ribosomal RNA", at positions 1 to 509 of the family's 1533-position model. The record is from RNAcentral.